Oryza punctata is the source of this 198-nucleotide non-coding RNA. The record is from Rfam. Lineage: Eukaryota; Viridiplantae; Streptophyta; Magnoliopsida; Poales; Poaceae.
AAUAAGUGCAGUUUGUACUAUUCAUGUUCAAUGUUUGAUCGUCCGUUUUAUUUGAAAAAAUUAUGAUUAGUAUUUUUGUUGUUAUUAUAUGAUAAAAUAUAAAUAGUACUUUAUGUGUGACUAAUUUUUUUUAGUUUUUUCAUAAAUUUUUCAAAUAAUACGGACGGUUGGAUACAGAAAUACAGGGCUGCAUUUAUU